GGGCCCGCACAAGCGGUGGAGUAUGUGGUUUAAUUCGAUGCAACGCGAAGAACCUUACCAGGGUUUGACAUCCUGCGAAUCUCUUGGAAACUUGAGAGUGCCUUCGGGAGCGCAGUGACAGGUGGUGCAUGGCUGUCGUCAGCUCGUGUCGUGAGAUGUUGGGUUAAGUCCCGCAACGAGCGCAACCCACGUCUUUAGUUGCCAACACGUAAAGGUGGGGACUCUGGAAAGACUGCCGGCGUAAGCCGCGAGGAAGGUGGGGACGACGUCAAAUCAUCAUGGCCUUUAUGCCCAGGGCUACACACGUGCUACAAUGGUAGAUACAGAGGGUCGCAAAACCGCGAGGUGGAGCUAAUCUCAGAAAGUCUAUCCCAGUUCGGAUUGGAGUCUGCAACUCGACUCCAUG
This 406-nucleotide ribosomal RNA is filed under the name uncultured bacterium. Its description in RNAcentral is "bacterial SSU rRNA". It matches the Rfam family "Bacterial small subunit ribosomal RNA", at positions 917 to 1322 of the family's 1533-position model. The record is from RNAcentral.